UAACCUAUAUACCAAAUAGUAAAGGACUGGCUACCAAGCUCAUAUUAUCAGUAUAGUCACAGUAUUGGCGUUGUUAUUACUGUCGUCCAAAGUCCCUCAUAAAACUGGGUUCACUUUGUCUACAUAUGGCUCUAGUUAGGGCCAAGGAAUGUGAUUGAUAGCCAUGCACUCUAUGGGCACGUGCAUUUGUUGACAACAAUUGUCGACGCUUUGGCAAAUAUUUUUGUGAGGCACAGUGCUCCUUUCAGGGCAGUUAGAAGCAAACCAAAACGUCACUAUUUGGCGCAUUUGGCCUACCUGCAUCAGCUGUGCUGUUGUUUAAGAAACACUCCGCCACUGUAGAGGGCAGUAGUGGUCAACAGUCAUAGAAACAAAGCCAGCGGAGUCGCGAAAAACAUUAGAGCAGGAUGCAGUUUUAGCGGAGUCGACUAAAUAUAACUUAUUUAUCAGGGUUAAACAUGAAAUUGUAUUGUCUGUCUGGUCAUCCCACAUUGCCUUGCAAUGUCCUCAAGUUUAAAUCCACCACUAUCAUGUUGGACUGUGGGCUGGACACCACCUCUGUCCUCAACUUCCUGCCCCUUCCUCUCGUGCACAGCCCGAGACUCUCCAAGUUACCUAGUUGGGUCUCUAAGGAUGGAACAAUAAACUUGGAGAAGGAGCUGAAGGAGUGUGCAGGAAGAGUGUUUGUGGAUUCACAGCCAGAGUUCUGUCUCCCUGAGAGAGAACUGCUGGAUCUGUCUACCAUUGAUGUCAUCCUGAUCUCCAACUACCACUGUAUGAUGGCCCUACCAUACAUCACUGAACACACAGGCUUCACUGGGACAGUGUAUGCUACAGAACCCACCCUGCAGAUUGGCAGACUGUUGAUGGAGGAACUGGUAAAGUUCAUGGAGAGAGUUCCCAAAGCUCAGUCUGCCACCUGCUGGAAAAAUAAGGAAAUACAAAGGAUGCUCCCUGGGCCGCUGAAGGAUGCAGUAGAUGUGUGGACGUGGAAACGAAGCUACAGCAUGCAGGAGGUCAACUCGGCCCUCAGCAAAGUGCAGCUUGUGGGUUACUCGCAGAAAGUGGAGCUGUUUGGAGCUGUACAGGUCUCCCCGCUAAGCUCUGGUUAUUCAUUAGGUAGCUCCAACUGGGUCAUCCAGUCUCAUCAUGAGAAAGUCGCCUAUGUGUCGGGUUCGUCCCUCCUCACCACACAUCCGCAGCCGAUGGACCAAAGCUCCCUUAAGAACAGCGAUGUUCUGAUUCUGACAGGACUCACCCAGAUGCCGACAGCCAACCCAGACGGCAUGCUGGGAGAAUUCUGCAGCAACCUUGCCAUGACGAUUCGAGCAGGAGGCAAUGUACUAGUGCCGUGCUACUCGUCCGGGGUGAUAUAUGACCUGCUGGAGUGUCUGUACCAGUUCAUCGAGAGCGCCAACCUGGGGACCACGCCCUUCUACUUCAUCUCGCCGGUCGCCAACAGCUCGCUGGAGUUCUCUCAGAUCUUCGCUGAGUGGCUUUGCCACAACAAGCAAUCAAAGGUUUAUCUUCCAGAGCCUCCAUUCCCUCAUGCCGAGUUGAUCCAAACCAACAAGCUGAAGCACUACCCCAGUAUCCACGGAGACUUCAGCAGUGAGUUCCGUCAGCCGUGCGUGGUGUUCACCGGUCACCCCUCUCUGCGCUUCGGCGACGUGGUUCACUUCAUGGAGCUGUGGGGCAAAUCUGGCCUCAACACCAUCAUCUUUACUGAGCCAGACUUUUCUUACCUGGAUGCUUUGGCUCCCUACCAGCCGCUGGCCAUGAAGUGUGUUUACUGUCCCAUUGACACGCGGCUCAACUUCCACCAAGUCUCAAAGCUGCUCAAGGAAGUCCAGCCCCUCCAUGUGGUGUGUCCGGAGCAGUACACCCAGCCUCCCCUGACCCAGUCUCACCGCUCUGAUCUGAUGCUGGAGCUGCAGCCCCCUCCCAUGCCCUACAGACGCUGCUCUGUUCUCAACUUGCCCUUCAGGCGCCGCUAUGAGCGGGUCUACAUACUGCCUGAGCUGGCCAACUCCCUGGUGCCCUCUGAGAUUAAACCUGGCGUUUCCAUGGCAACUGUGUCUGCAGUGCUGCACUCCAAGGACAACAAACACACACUACAGUCGGUGCCCAAACCCCCUCCAGUGCCUCCCAGCAAGAAGAGGAAACGGGUAAUGGAGGAGCCUCCAGUAGUGCUGGCCCCGAAACCCCUGCUGAGUGGAGCUGUGCCUCUGGAAGCUUUCCUGGCCACAUUGCAAAAGCACGGUAUUACGGAGGUGAAAGUGGAGGAGACUGCGGACGGACACAUUCUGCACCUGCAGGCAGAGGACACACUGAUUCAGCUGGAGGAGGACGGGACACACAUCGUCUGUGACAACAACGAGCCGCUGCGUACCACGCUGCGAGACCUGGUGCUGCGCUUCCUGCAGAAACUCUGACCUGAAUCCUUCAUCGUUUGUUUGUUUUUUAAACAGGAUUUCUGCCUCAUUGGACUGUGGCGAGCAGAAAAAAGAUGAUGGUGAGGAGGAGGACACGACGAAGAGCCGUGAGCUGGACUGUCCCCACUUCAUUAACUGCAGUUCCAGUAGUUUAACUGGAAACGGUAAUAUGGUGAAACAUACAUGAAAACACAAAGAUCAUCAGCUGGUGUUUUCCAAAGGAGGAAUUUGAUCAACCCAUCAGCUGAAGAUGUUGCAAGUUUCCAGAAUUGAUGUUUUACCCACAAGCUCUGAAUUUAAAAAG
Molecule: RNA transcript, 2739 nt
Organism: Perca flavescens (yellow perch)
Lineage: Eukaryota; Metazoa; Chordata; Actinopteri; Perciformes; Percidae
Gene: ints9
Gene name: integrator complex subunit 9
Exons: 19
Source: RefSeq, a predicted model, not a curated record